GUUCUGUAUAGGCAAACUCUCCGAAAGGUGAGGACGCAAAGCUAUGGGUCUACGGAUAUAUCUAAGACUGCCAGGCUGCCAAG
RNAcentral lists this non-coding RNA (83 nucleotides) under Alkaliphilus peptidifermentans DSM 18978. Its description in RNAcentral is "GEMM cis-regulatory element". It matches the Rfam family "c-di-GMP-I riboswitch aptamer". Rfam says of the family: GEMM was predicted in a large-scale screen for bacterial structured RNA regulatory elements. Lineage: Bacteria; Bacillati; Bacillota; Clostridia; Peptostreptococcales; Natronincolaceae. The record is from RNAcentral.